This 506-nucleotide ribosomal RNA is filed under the name uncultured bacterium. Its description in RNAcentral is "partial 16S ribosomal RNA". It matches the Rfam family "Bacterial small subunit ribosomal RNA", at positions 29 to 523 of the family's 1533-position model. The record is from RNAcentral.
AGUGAACGCUGGCGGUAGGCCUAACACAUGCAAGUCGAACGGCAGCACAGGAGAGCUUGCUCUCUGGGUGGCGAGUGGCGGACGGGUGAGGAAUACAUCGGAAUCUACUCUGUCGUGGGGGAUAACGUAGGGAAACUUACGCUAAUACCGCAUACGACCUACGGGUGAAAGCAGGGGACCUUCGGGCCUUGCGCGAUUGAAUGAGCCGAUGUCGGAUUAGCUAGUUGGCGGGGUAAAGGCCCACCAAGGCGACGAUCCGUAGCUGGUCUGGGAGGAUGAUCGGCCCCACUGGAACGGGGACACGGUCCAGACUCCUACGGGAGGCAGCAGUGGGGAAUAUUGGACAAUGGGCGCAAGCCUGAUCCAGCCAUACCGCGUGGGUGAUGAAGGCCUUCGGGUUGUAAAGCCCUUUUGUUGGGAAAGAAAUCCAGCUGGCUAAUACCCGGUUGGGAUGACGGUACCCAAAGAAUAAGCACCGGCUGACUUCGUGCCAGCCGCCGCAGUAA